AGUGAACGCUGGCGGUAGGCCUAACACAUGCAAGUCGAACGGCAGCACAGUAAGAGCUUGCUCUUACGGGUGGCGAGUGGCGGACGGGUGAGGAAUACAUCGGAAUCUACUUUUUCGUGGGGGAUAACGUAGGGAAACUUACGCUAAUACCGCAUACGACCUACGGGUGAAAGCAGGGGAGCUUCGGACCUUUCGCGAUUGAAUGAGCCGAUGUCGGAUUAGCUAGUUGGCGGGGUAAAGGCCCACCAAGGCGACGAUCCGUAGCUGGUCUGAGAGGAUGAUCAGCCACACUGGAACUGAGACACGGUCCAGACUCCUACGGGAGGCAGCAGUGGGGAAUAUUGGACAAUGGGCGCAAGCCUGAUCCAGCCAUACCGCGUGAGUGAAGAAGGCCUUCGGGUUGUAAAGCCCUUUUGUUGGGAAAGAAAAGCAGCAGGUUAAUACCCCGCUGUUCUGACGGUACCCAAAGAAUAAGCACCGGCUAACUUCGUG
RNAcentral lists this ribosomal RNA (492 nucleotides) under uncultured bacterium. Its description in RNAcentral is "partial 16S ribosomal RNA". It matches the Rfam family "Bacterial small subunit ribosomal RNA", at positions 29 to 507 of the family's 1533-position model. The record is from RNAcentral.